This 561-nucleotide unclassified non-coding RNA is filed under the name Hevea brasiliensis (rubber tree). The record is from RNAcentral. Lineage: Eukaryota; Viridiplantae; Streptophyta; Magnoliopsida; Malpighiales; Euphorbiaceae.
UUUUUUUUUUUUUUUUUUUUUAAUUUUUUUUUUUUUUUUUUAUUUUAAUUUUUCCCUUGUUUAGUAGGAGGUUGAGGAAGGGGAGAUUUUGAGGAGAUGAAAAUGAUUAUCACUUUCACUUUUGUGUGGCCCUGUGUGGCCUGAAACCCCCUUUGUGCUUUUAUAUGUUAAACUAUGGUUUGUUUUUACAAAAAAGAAAGGUAUGCUCAAAGUGAUCAUCAUAUGGUUUGGAGAGAAUGGACCUACCAUUUUAUAAUAAUGUUCAUUUGCUAAAGAGGCAACCAUGCUGAUUGCAACCACGCUGAUUUUCAUAUGCUACCAUCUCUACCCUAGAAAUAAUUUUGGUCGGCAAUUGAUUAGGUUUUAUCAUCAUCAUGUAUAAUGAUGACAUGUAAGCCAAAUACGAAGCACGUACUGUAAAUAUUUAUCAAAAAAUAUUUUAAGUUUACGGGAAAUUUGGAUUAGAGAGGUAUGUGCACAUGAAAAAUUAUGAAACGUAGAUACUAUUUACGUUAUGUAACUUUCAUUAUUUGCUUUUUAAAUGAAAAUAACAAGACUGUG